RNAcentral lists this long non-coding RNA (1858 nucleotides) under Homo sapiens (human). RNAcentral's name for it is "HSALNT0296223". The record is from RNAcentral. Lineage: Eukaryota; Metazoa; Chordata; Mammalia; Primates; Hominidae.
GGUGGUAGCUAGGUUUCUAACUGCUUGCGGGGGAUAUUACAGAUAAGCAAGGGAGGAAGCUAGAAUGAUUUAUGUAAUAUGGAUCAGAAUUGCAGACAUCACUACAAACUCAUGUUUGGCUUAAUAUAGAUGGCUACAUAUAGAAAUAUUCAUGGGUAUUUGUAUAUUAAAGAGGUAGCAUACACACGUAUUUCAUUGCUCUAUCUGCUGAGAGGGCCUAGAUGCAAACACAUUCCAGCAGCAACUAACCGACCGCCCCCACCCCCACACCUCCGAUCCUGCUAUCUAACUCCAUGCCUUCAACAAAAGGAGUCAGGGCUCUUUGCAGAAAUGCUGGAUUCAGGAAAUACACCAGAUGAGCCUGGAGUACUGUGUAGUGCCAGAAAGUUAAAACGUGCUCAAAACAACAAACAAUGAUGGGGCAAGGGGAUACAAGAGCCAAAUCAAAGAGUUUUUAGCAGCCACAUUAAAACAAUUUGUGCAAUGAAAUAAAGAAGUACUUAUAAUACAAGGUAUAAAACAAAUAUCCAUGAUUCUUUACUGAUAAAAAUAAAUAAAUGACUGAAUAAAGCAAUAAAUGGGAGAGGACAGACAAAUCUAUGCAAAAGAAUUCCAAAUACUUGACAUAACUGUUUUAACUGUUUUAACUGCCUUUAAGGAGGUAGAGCAAAACUUUCCACUCUGUAAGUGCAUGUAAGUGCAGACCAUGCAUAACGACUUUUUUUUUUUUCCCCAAAAAGUACUUCAUGGAAAGAAAAACAGUAACUUUACAAAUACUAUCUCAAGCCAGGUGAUCAAGGUUAACAUCAACAGUGAUAAGUCAUAAUGAUAGUAUGUACCCUUCAAAUUAUAUGAUGAGAAUGCCAUCUUACCUCUCUGUCUUCCUCCCAAAAACAUAUUAACCAUGAGGAAAACAUCAAAUUCCAGUUAAAGGAGAUUCUACAAAAUAGGCCUGACCAGUAAUCUUCAAAAUUGUGAAGAUCACCAAAAUUGUCAAGAUCACCAAAAAUCUGAAAAACAGUCACAGUCCAGGGGAGCCUAAGGAGGAUAAGAACUAAAUGUGGUCCCAGACAAGAUCCUGGAACAGAAAAUGAACACUAAGGGAAAACUAAGGAAAUAUGAACAAGGAGAUUCCAUGAAAGGAGAGAGGCUGGCACAGCUGGUUGUUCUAUGGCCAUGAGGAGAAGCAUGACAAGAGAGAAGAGAUGCCACUAGAUGAAAAGAACUCUCCAGAGAAGAGUGGAGGCCCAAACUGGGAAGUUAGCUGUAGCAGCUGAUGUCACAAAGCCUGGCUGAGGACCAAAGAGAAACAGGUUCGUUUGGAAGUUCGUAUCUGAGCAGACUGGCUCAACCAGAAGUCCAGAAAAGUGUGGACCAGCUUCAACAGGACAGCACUAACACAGACUACUGCAGUCUCUGCACAGAGAGGCCUAAAGGAGAGGUCACAGCAGUACUCUGCAGGAAGGGUGCUCAAGAGCAACUAGAGGCAAGUGCUCUACUGUGGCUGCCCUCCUUCCUAAGAGGUGAAGGAUGGACAGGUAAGAGGAGGAGAUGGUUUGGAUUUGUGUCCUCUCCCAAAUAUGUCAAAUUGUAAUCCGCAGUAUGGGAGGUGGGGCCUGGCAGGAGGUAGUGGAUCAUAGGGGCGGAUUUCCCCAUUUGGUGCUGUUCUGGUGAUACAGAGUUUUCACAAGAUGUGGUUGUUUAAAAGUGUGUGGCACCCCUCCCUACCCCCACCACUUCCUCCCGUUCCGGCCAUGUAAAGUGCUGGCUUCCCCUUUGCCUUCUGCCAUGAUCAUAAGUUUCCUGAAGCCUCCCCAGAAGGCUAGCUGAUGCUGCCAUGUUUCCUGUACGGCCUGCA